AAAGUACUCCCUCCGUCCGGAAUUACUUGUCGUCAAAAUGGAUAAAAAUGGAUGUAUCUAGAACUAAAAUACAUCUAGGUACGUCCAUUUCUCCGACAAGUAUUUCCGGAUGGAGGGAGUACACA
Molecule: non-coding RNA, 125 nt
Organism: Triticum aestivum (bread wheat)
Lineage: Eukaryota; Viridiplantae; Streptophyta; Magnoliopsida; Poales; Poaceae
Source: Rfam